UGCCUUGGUUAACGAGGAGGAAGGUGGGGACGACGUCAAGUCAUCACGGCCUUUAUGUCCAGGGCCACACACGUGCUACAAUGGCCGGCACAAAGGGUUGCCAACCCGCGAGGGGGAGCCAAUCCCAAAAAUCCGGCCUCAGUUCGGAUUGCAGUCUGCAACUCGACUGCAUGAAGUCGGAAUCGCUAGUAAUCGCGAAUCAGCAGGUCGCGGUGAAUACGUUCCCGGGCCUU
This 233-nucleotide ribosomal RNA is filed under the name uncultured Holophagae bacterium. RNAcentral's name for it is "partial 16S ribosomal RNA". It matches the Rfam family "Bacterial small subunit ribosomal RNA", at positions 1150 to 1382 of the family's 1533-position model. The record is from RNAcentral. Lineage: Bacteria; Pseudomonadati; Acidobacteriota; Holophagae.